AUGGACGCAAGCAGCCCCUCGUGGCGCAAACCGAAGGGGGGCUGCUCACGGCACAGCCCCUCGGUGCUGGGGGUGGCGAGGGGCUGUAAGGAUGGGGCUGUACGGAUGGGUUCUGCCCUUCUGCGAGGUCUUCUGCCUCUCGUGUUUCUCGGCUGGGGGGUAACCUUCAAGCCAGGCUGGCCUUUAGCACCUGGCCGCAUCGCUCAGCGCGCGCGGGGCUGCUGCGCCCAGGGCGAGCGUGCUCCCAUCUGCUCCCUUCCCUCUUCCCGGUCCGGUUACAAUAGCCCAUUCACAAAACCAGCCCGGGUCAUAAAGCAGGGGCACGGGGCAGGGGAGGAGGGAAAGAGCUCUGAAAACCCCCCUCUAGAUAGGGAAAACGCAGGCAGAACCCUCAGUGCUGGUGGAGAAGGAGGGGGGAAAAAACACAUCCGUGCCCACGGCGCUGCUCAGGGGUGCAGCGAUGCCUCGGGUGGGGAGCUUGGGGAUGGAGCUGGUGCCGUCUGUGCUGCUCCUGCAGCCAUCUGCUCUUCGUGGAGCCAGCGGGGAUCAGGCUGUGGAGGAAGGGGCCAUGGCUGGGGGCUGUGGGUUGGGGAAAGAGGUCCCAAGGGUGGCACGAAUCGCCUUUGUACCCCCGGGGAGGUACCCAAAGGGGAUGGGUAUCUCGUGGGAGUGUUGCCCCAAGGAUGCUUGGUGGGAGCUGUUUGUGUCCUGGCUCCGUGCUGGUGUCCCUGGGGUCUGCCUGGAGCCGGCGGGGGGCUCAGCAGCAGCACACGCGGGCUGGGGAGGGAGGUGCUGGAGCCAAGGGAGGCGCUGAAGCCGCGAUGUGCAGGGUCCGGGUGUCUGCGGGCAGAGGCGGUGAUUUACCUCCCGGCAGAACAAGGAGUCCCUGUCUGGUGCUGGCAGAGGAGCUGGGGCGGGCGGCUCGGCUCCUGUUUCCACAGGGGGGGCUGGAGCAGGAUCGGUGCUGCAGAGCCAGCAUCCCCUGCCCCGAGCCUGGAUACGCGGAGCUGA
Molecule: long non-coding RNA, 1011 nt
Filed under: Anas zonorhyncha (Eastern spot-billed duck)
Lineage: Eukaryota; Metazoa; Chordata; Aves; Anseriformes; Anatidae
Description: lncRNA (ENSAZOG00000003375.1)
Source: RNAcentral